UUUGUUGGAGAGUUUGAUCCUGGCUCAGGAUGAACGCUGGCGGCGUGCUUAACACAUGCAAGUCGAACGGGAUCCAAGAAGUGCUUGCACUUUUUGGUGAGAGUGGCGAACGGGUGAGUAACACGUGAGUAACCUGUCCUUUUCUUUGGGAUAAGCUUCCGAAAGGGUGUUUAAUACCUUAUGUUCUGUCUGCCUCGCAUGGGGUGGGUGGGAAAGAUUUUUUCGGGAAAGGGUGGGCUCGCGGUCUAUCAGCUUGUUGGUGGGGUGAUGGCCUACCAAGGCUUUGACGGGUAGCCGGCCUGAGAGGGUGGUCGGUCACAUUGGGACUGAGAUACGGCCCAGACUCCUGCGGGAGGCAGCAGUGGGGGAUAUUGCACAAUGGGCGAAAGCCUGAUGCAGCGACGCCGCGUGGGGGAUGAAGGCCUUCGGGUUGUAAACUUCUUUUGCUCUGAACAAGGCGCACCGUGGGGUGUGUUGAGUGUAGGGGUUGAUUAGCGCCGGCUAACUACGUGCCAGCAGCCGCGGUAAUACGUAGGGCGCGAGCGUUGUCCGGAAUUAUUGGGCGUAAAGGGCUUGUAGGUGGCUGGUUGCGUCUGUCGUGAAAGCUCAUGGCUUAACUGUGGGUUUGCGGUGGGUACGGGCUGGCUUGAGUGCAGUAGGGGAGGCUGGAAUUCCUGGUGUAGCGGUGGAAUGCGCAGAUAUCAGGAGGAAUACCGGUGGCGAAGGCGGGUCUCUGGGCUGUUACUGACACUGAGGAGCGAAAGCAUGGGGAGCGAACAGGAUUAGAUACCCUGGUAGUCCAUGCUGUAAACGGUGGGAACUGGGUGUGGGGGGCUUUUUUGUCUUCUGCGUCGUAGCUAACGCGUUAAGUUCCCCGCCUGGGGAGUACGGUCGCAAGGCUAAAACUCAAAGGAAUUGACGGGGGCCCGCACAAGCGGCGGAGCAUGCGGAUUAAUUCGAUGCAACGCGAAGAACCUUACCAAGGCUUGACAUGCACUGGACCGAUCCAGAGAUGGGUUUUCCUUUUUGGCUGGUGUGCAGGUGGUGCAUGGUUGUCGUCAGCUCGUGUCGUGAGAUGUUGGGUUAAGUCCCGCAACGAGCGCAACCCUUGUCCUAUGUUGCCAGCAAGUUGUGUUGGGGACUCGUGGGAGACUGCCGGGGUUAACUCGGAGGAAGGUGGGGAUGACGUCAAAUCAUCAUGCCCCUUAUGUCUUGGGCUUCACGCAUGCUACAUUGGCGUCUACAGAGGGUUGCGAUACCGUAAGGUGGGGCGAAUCUCUUAAAGGGCGUCUUGGUUCGGAUCGGGGUCUGCAACUCGGCCCCGUGAAGGUGGAGUCGCUAGUAAUCGCAGAUCAGCAACGCUGCGGUGAAUACGUUCUCGGGCCUUGUACACACCGCCCGUCACGUCACGAAAGUUGGUAACACUCGAAGCUUGUGGCCUAACUCUUUUUGAGGGGGAGCGGGUGAAGGUGGGGCUAGCGAUUGGGACGAAGUCGUAACAAGGUAGCCGUACCGGAAGGUGCGGCUGGAUCACCUCCUUUCUAGGGAG
This 1549-nucleotide ribosomal RNA is filed under the name Varibaculum cambriense. RNAcentral's name for it is "bacterial SSU rRNA". It matches the Rfam family "Bacterial small subunit ribosomal RNA". Lineage: Bacteria; Bacillati; Actinomycetota; Actinomycetes; Actinomycetales; Actinomycetaceae. The record is from RNAcentral.